GCCAACCUACACAACGCACAGUCGUUUGAGAACCCGUCUGUACAAGCCAGUCACACGUUCAACACACAGCAAAGUACAUUUUCGUCAGCUAGUAGUCACCGCCUACCCAAACUUUCGCUUCCAAUAUUCUCAGGCAACAUCUUAGAAUGGCAAACUUUCUGGGACUCAUAUGAGUCGGCCGUACACCUUAACUUGUCACUUACAAAUGUACAAAAAUUCAAUUACUUGAAAGCACAGCUAGAACAUGAAGCAUUAGAA
RNAcentral lists this long non-coding RNA (258 nucleotides) under Mytilus galloprovincialis (Mediterranean mussel). Lineage: Eukaryota; Metazoa; Mollusca; Bivalvia; Mytilida; Mytilidae. The record is from RNAcentral.